RNAcentral lists this ribosomal RNA (1657 nucleotides) under Salmonella enterica subsp. diarizonae. RNAcentral's name for it is "partial 23S ribosomal RNA". It matches the Rfam family "Bacterial large subunit ribosomal RNA", at positions 1292 to 2925 of the family's 2925-position model. The record is from RNAcentral. Lineage: Bacteria; Pseudomonadati; Pseudomonadota; Gammaproteobacteria; Enterobacterales; Enterobacteriaceae.
GAAUGCUGACAUAAGUAACGAUAAAGCGGGUGAAAAGCCCGCUCGCCGGAAGACCAAGGGUUCCUGUCCAACGUUAAUCGGGGCAGGGUGAGUCGACCCCUAAGGCGAGGCCGAAAGGCGUAGUCGAUGGGAAACGGGUUAAUAUUCCCGUACUUGGUGUUACUGCGAAGGGGGGACGGAGAAGGCUAUGUUGGCCGGGCGACGGUAGUCCCGGUUUAAGCGUGUAGGCUGGUUUUCCAGGCAAAUCCGGAAAAUCAAGGCUGAGGCGUGAUGACGAGGCACCACGGUGCUGAAGCAACAAAUGCCCUGCUUCCAGGAAAAGCCUCUAAGCAUCAGGUAACAUCAAAUCGUACCCCAAACCGACACAGGUGGUCAGGUAGAGAAUACCAAGGCGCUUGAGAGAACUCGGGUGAAGGAACUAGGCAAAAUGGUGCCGUAACUUCGGGAGAAGGCACGCUGACACGUAGGUGAAGUGAUUUACUCAUGGAGCUGAAGUCAGUCGAAGAUACCAGCUGGCUGCAACUGUUUAUUAAAAACACAGCACUGUGCAAACACGAAAGUGGACGUAUACGGUGUGACGCCUGCCCGGUGCCGGAAGGUUAAUUGAUGGGGUCAGCGCAAGCGAAGCUCCUGAUCGAAGCCCCGGUAAACGGCGGCCGUAACUAUAACGGUCCUAAGGUAGCGAAAUUCCUUGUCGGGUAAGUUCCGACCUGCACGAAUGGCGUAAUGAUGGCCAGGCUGUCUCCACCCGAGACUCAGUGAAAUUGAACUCGCUGUGAAGAUGCAGUGUACCCGCGGCAAGACGGAAAGACCCCGUGAACCUUUACUAUAGCUUGACACUGAACAUUGAGCCUUGAUGUGUAGGAUAGGUGGGAGGCUUUGAAGCGUGGACGCCAGUCUGCGUGGAGCCGACCUUGAAAUACCACCCUUUAAUGUUUGAUGUUCUAACGUGGACCCGUGAUCCGGGUUGCGGACAGUGUCUGGUGGGUAGUUUGACUGGGGCGGUCUCCUCCUAAAGAGUAACGGAGGAGCACGAAGGUUGGCUAAUCCUGGUCGGACAUCAGGAGGUUAGUGCAAUGGCAUAAGCCAGCUUGACUGCGAGCGUGACGGCGCGAGCAGGUGCGAAAGCAGGUCAUAGUGAUCCGGUGGUUCUGAAUGGAAGGGCCAUCGCUCAACGGAUAAAAGGUACUCCGGGGAUAACAGGCUGAUACCGCCCAAGAGUUCAUAUCGACGGCGGUGUUUGGCACCUCGAUGUCGGCUCAUCACAUCCUGGGGCUGAAGUAGGUCCCAAGGGUAUGGCUGUUCGCCAUUUAAAGUGGUACGCGAGCUGGGUUUAGAACGUCGUGAGACAGUUCGGUCCCUAUCUGCCGUGGGCGCUGGAAGACUGAGGGGGGCUGCUCCUAGUACGAGAGGACCGGAGUGGACGCAUCACUGGUGUUCGGGUUGUCAUGCCAAUGGCACUGCCCGGUAGCUAAAUGCGGAAAAGAUAAGUGCUGAAAGCAUCUAAGCACGAAACUUGCCCCGAGAUGAGUCUUCCCUGAGACUUUGAGUCUCCUGAAGGAACGUUAAAGACGAUGACGUUGAUAGGCCGGGUGUGUAAGCGCAGCGAUGCGUUGAGCUAACCGGUACUAAUGAACCGUGAGGCUUAACCUUACAA